RNAcentral lists this ribosomal RNA (253 nucleotides) under uncultured bacterium. RNAcentral's name for it is "partial 16S ribosomal RNA". It matches the Rfam family "Bacterial small subunit ribosomal RNA", at positions 524 to 776 of the family's 1533-position model. The record is from RNAcentral.
UACGGGGGGGGCAAGCGUUGUUCGGAAUUACUGGGCGGAAAGGGCUCGUAGGUGGCCAACUAAGUCAGACGUGAAAUCCCUCGGCUUAACCGGGGAACUGCGUCUGAUACUGGAUGGCUUGAGGUUGGGAGAGGGAUGCGGAAUUCCAGGUGUAGCGGUGAAAUGCGUAGAUAUCUGGAGGAACACCGGUGGCGAAGGCGGCAUCCUGGACCAAUUCUGACGCUGAGGAGCGAAAGCCAGGGGAGCAAACGGG